Molecule: transfer RNA, 69 nt
Filed under: Urocitellus parryii (Arctic ground squirrel)
Lineage: Eukaryota; Metazoa; Chordata; Mammalia; Rodentia; Sciuridae
Also listed under: 1 other name
Description: Spermophilus parryii (Arctic ground squirrel) tRNA
Rfam family: tRNA
About the family: Transfer RNA (tRNA) molecules are approximately 80 nucleotides in length.
Source: Rfam by way of RNAcentral
GGGUUUGUGGCUCAGUGGUAGAGUGCUUGCCUAGCAUGCGUGAGGCACUGGGUUCGAUCCCCAGCCCCA